Molecule: ribosomal RNA, 205 nt
Filed under: uncultured bacterium
Lineage: Bacteria
Description: partial 16S ribosomal RNA
Rfam family: Bacterial small subunit ribosomal RNA
Source: RNAcentral
AGGCGGCAGAUUAAGUUAGAGGUGAAAUUCCGAGGCUCAACGGGGUGAAGUGCCAUUGAUACUGCCUUGCUGGAAUGCGGAUGACGUGGGAGGAAUGUGUUGUGUAGCGGUGAAAUGCAUAGAUAUCACACAGAACACCGAUUGCGAAGGCAUCUCACGAAUCCGCGAUUGACGCUGAUGCACGAAAGCGUGGGUAUCAAACAGG